GGGCCCGCACAAGCGGUGGAGCAUGUGGUUUAAUUCGAUGAUACGCGAGGAACCUUACCAAGGCUUAAAUGUAAAACGACCAGUUGAGAAAUCAACUUUUUUUCGAACGGUUUACAAGGUGCUGCAUGGUUGUCGUCAGCUCGUGCCGUGAGGGUGUCGGGGUUAAGUCCCAUAACGAGCGCAACCCCUAUCUUUAGUUACCAGCGAGUAAUGUCGGGAACUCUAAAGAAACUGCCCGUGCAAACGGAGAGGAAGGUGGGGAUGACGUCAAAUCAUCACGGCCCUUAUGUCUUGGGCUACACACGUGCUACAAUGGUUAUUACAAUGAGAUGCAAACUGGUGACAGUAAGCUAA
Molecule: ribosomal RNA, 354 nt
Filed under: uncultured bacterium
Lineage: Bacteria
Description: bacterial SSU rRNA
Rfam family: Bacterial small subunit ribosomal RNA
Source: RNAcentral